Molecule: ribosomal RNA, 253 nt
Filed under: uncultured bacterium
Lineage: Bacteria
Description: partial 16S ribosomal RNA
Rfam family: Bacterial small subunit ribosomal RNA
Source: RNAcentral
UACGUAGGGUGCAAGCGUUAAUCGGAAUUACUGGGCGUAAAGCGUGCGCAGGCGGUUUUGUAAGUCUGUCGUGAAAGCCCCGGGCUCAACCUGGGAAUUGCGAUGGAGACUGCAAGGCUUGAAUCUGGCAGAGGGGGGUAGAAUUCCACGUGUAGCAGUGAAAUGCGUAGAGAUGUGGAGGAACACCGAUGGCGAAGGCAGCCCCCUGGGUCAAGAUUGACACUCAUGCACGAAAGCGUGGGGAGCGAACAGG